Molecule: long non-coding RNA, 117 nt
Organism: Etheostoma spectabile (orangethroat darter)
Lineage: Eukaryota; Metazoa; Chordata; Actinopteri; Perciformes; Percidae
Exons: 3
Source: RefSeq, a predicted model, not a curated record
AGACACAGACUAGGUUUUGCCCCCUGCUGUAAAUUAGAUAGAAUACAGGUUUAAGGCAUUUCCGCAUUGGCUUCAGGUUUCAGUGCCAGAAGCGCUGUUCAUUAUCCUUUACAGUCU